RNAcentral lists this ribosomal RNA (889 nucleotides) under uncultured bacterium. Its description in RNAcentral is "bacterial SSU rRNA". It matches the Rfam family "Bacterial small subunit ribosomal RNA", at positions 616 to 1504 of the family's 1533-position model. The record is from RNAcentral.
AGGAACUGCAUUUAAAACUAGUGAUCUAGAAUUUGGUAAGGGUUAGUAGAAUUUCCAGUGUAGAGGUGAAAUUCGUAGAUAUUGGAAAGAAUACCAGAAGCGAAGGCGACUAACUAGGCCAUUUUUGACGCUGAGAUACGAAAGCGUGGGUAGCAAACAGGAUUAGAUACCCUGGUAGUCCACGCAGUAAACGAUGAGUGCUAGUCGCUGGUGCAAUAGUAUCAGUGUCGUAGCUAACGCAUUAAGCACUCCGCCUGGGAAGUACGGUCGCAAGAUUAAAACUCAAAUAAAUUGACGGGGGCCCGCACAAGCGGUGGAGCAUGUGGUUUAAUUCGAAGCAACGCGAAGAACCUUACCAGACCUUGACAUGGUAUGUUUGAAUUACAGAAUAGUAAUUCUUCAGUUCGGCUGACAUACACACAGGUGCUGCAUGGCUGUCGUCAGCUCGUGUCGUGAGAUGUUGGGUUAAGUCCCGCAACGAGCGCAACCCUCAUUUUUAGUUGCCAUCAGGUUAUGCUGGGCACUCUAGAAAAACUGCCGGUGAUAAGCUGGAGGAAGGCGGGGAUGACGUCAAGUCCUCAUGGCCCUUACGGUCUGGGCUACACACGUGCUACAAUGGUGGUGACAGAGGGCAGCAAUAUCGCAAGAUAAAGCUAAUCCCUAAAAACCAUCUCAGUUCGGAUUGGACUCUGCAACUCGAGUCCAUGAAGUUGGAAUCGCUAGUAAUCGUAGAUCAGCGUGCUACGGUGAAUACGUUCUCGGGCCUUGUACACACCGCCCGUCACGCCAUGGGAGUUGGUUUUACCUUAAGCCGGUGCGCUAACCGCAAGGAAGCAGCCGUCCACGGUAGGGUCAGCGACUGGGGCGAAGUCGUAACAAGGUAACCGUA